RNAcentral lists this ribosomal RNA (377 nucleotides) under uncultured bacterium. Its description in RNAcentral is "bacterial SSU rRNA". It matches the Rfam family "Bacterial small subunit ribosomal RNA", at positions 521 to 896 of the family's 1533-position model. The record is from RNAcentral.
UAAUACAGAGGUGGCAAGCGUUGUUCGGAAUUACUGGGCGUAAAGGGCGCGUAGGCGGCCUUCUAAGUCAGACGUGAAAUCCCCCGGCUUAACCUGGGAACUGCGUCUGAUACUGGAGGGCUUGAGUGCGGGAGAGGGAUGUGGAAUUCCAGGUGUAGCGGUGAAAUGCGUAGAUAUCUGGAGGAACACCGGUGGCGAAGGCGGCAUCCUGGACCGACACUGACGCUGAGGCGCGAAAGCUAGGGUAGCAAACGGGAUUAGAUACCCCGGUAGUCCUAGCCCUAAACGAUGAGUGCUUGGUGUGGCGGGUAUCGAUCCCUGCCGUGCCGAAGCUAACGCAUUAAGCACUCCGCCUGGGGAGUACGGUCGCAAGGCUG